GACGAACGCUGGCGGCGUGCUUAACACAUGCAAGUCGAACGGAAAGGCCCUGCUUUUGUGGGGUGCUCGAGUGGCGAACGGGUGAGUAACACGUGAGUAACCUGCCCUUGACUUUGGGAUAACUUCAGGGAACUGGGGCUAAUACCGGAUAGGAGCUCCUGCUGCAUGGUGGGGGUUGGAAAGUUUCGGCGGUUGGGGAUGGACUCGCGGCUUAUCAGCUUGUUGGUGGGGUAGUGGCUUACCAAGGCUUUGACGGGUAGCCGGCCUGAGAGGGUGACCGGCCACAUUGGGACUGAGAUACGGCCCAGACUCCUACGGGAGGCAGCAGUGGGGAAUAUUGCACAAUGGGCGGAAGCCUGAUGCAGCAACGCCGCGUGCGGGACGACGGCCUUCGGGUUGUAAACCGCUUUCGCCUGUGACGAAGCGUGAGUGACGGUAAUGGGUAAAGAAGCACCGGCUAACUACGUG
RNAcentral lists this ribosomal RNA (468 nucleotides) under uncultured bacterium. RNAcentral's name for it is "partial 16S ribosomal RNA". It matches the Rfam family "Bacterial small subunit ribosomal RNA", at positions 28 to 507 of the family's 1533-position model. The record is from RNAcentral.